This 464-nucleotide ribosomal RNA is filed under the name uncultured bacterium. RNAcentral describes it as "partial 16S ribosomal RNA". It matches the Rfam family "Bacterial small subunit ribosomal RNA", at positions 28 to 503 of the family's 1533-position model. The record is from RNAcentral.
GACGAACGCUGGCGGCGUGCUUAACACAUGCAAGUCGAACGGAAAGGCCCUGCUUUUGUGGGGUGCUCGAGUGGCGAACGGGUGAGUAACACGUGAGUAACCUGCCCUUGACUUUGGGAUAACUUCAGGAAACUGGGGCUAAUACCGGAUAGGAGCUCCUGCUGCAUGGUGGGGGUUGGAAAGUUUCGGCGGUUGGGGAUGGACUCGCGGCUUAUCAGCUUGUUGGUGGGGUAGUGGCUUACCAAGGCUUUGACGGGUAGCCGGCCUGAGAGGGUGACCGGCCACAUUGGGACGGAGGUACGGCCCAGACACCUACGGGAGGCAGCAGUAGGGAAUAUUGCACAAUGGGCGGAAGCGUGAUGCAGCAACGCCGCGUGCGGGAUGACGGCCUUCGGGGAGUAAACCGCUUUCGCCAGUGACGAAGCGUGAGUGACGGUAAUGAGUAAAGAAGCACCGGCUAAGUA